CUACGGGGUGCUGCAGUGGGGAAUAUUGCGCAAUGGGCGAAAGCCUGACGCAGCAACGCCGCGUGAGUGAUGAAGGCUCUUGGGUCGUAAAGCUCUGUCAGAGGGGAAGAAAUGGUUAGUAAGGAAAUGUGCUAAUCUUGACGGUACCCUCAAAGGAAGCACCGGCUAACUCCGUGCCAGCAGCCGCGGUAAUACGGGGGGUGCGAGCGUUGUUCGGAAUCACUGGGCGUAAAGCGUGUGUAGGCGGAUUGGUAAGUCAGAUGUGAAAUCCCGGGGCUUAACCCCGGAACUGCAUUUGAAACUGCCUCUCUAGAGUGCGGAAGAGGGAAGGGGAAUGCCCGGUGUAGAGGUGAAAUUCGUAGAUAUCGGGAGGAAUACCGGUGGCGAAGGCGCCUUCCUGGGCCGACACUGACGCUGAGACACGAAAGCGUGGGGAGCAAACAGGAUUAGAUACCCGCGUAGUC
This 464-nucleotide ribosomal RNA is filed under the name uncultured bacterium. RNAcentral's name for it is "partial 16S ribosomal RNA". It matches the Rfam family "Bacterial small subunit ribosomal RNA", at positions 339 to 795 of the family's 1533-position model. The record is from RNAcentral.